This is a long non-coding RNA of Populus euphratica (Euphrates poplar), 332 nucleotides long. RefSeq lists it as uncharacterized. The record is from RefSeq and is a predicted model, not a curated record. NCBI's taxonomy places the organism in Eukaryota, Viridiplantae, Streptophyta, Magnoliopsida, Malpighiales, Salicaceae. The transcript has 3 exons.
CAAGCUUACGCUGGAUAUGUAGGCACCCAGAGACGAGGAAGGGCGUAGUAAGCGACGAAAUGCUUCGGGGAGUUGAAAAUAAGCGUAGAUCCGGAGAUUCCCGAAAUAGGUCAACCUUUCAAACUGCUGCCGGCAGGCAAGAGACAACCUGGCGAACUGAAACAUCUUAGUAACCAGAGGAAAAGAAAGCAAAAGCGAUUCCCGUAGUAGCGGCGAGCGAAAUGGGAGCAGCCUAAACCGUGAAAACGGGGUUGUGGGAGAGCAAUACAAGCGUCGUGCUGCUAGGCGAAGCGGUGGAGUGCUGCACCCUAGAUGGAGAGAGUCCAGUAGCC